CCUACGGGUGGCAGCAGUCGAGAAUCAUUCACAAUGGGGGAAACCCUGAUGGUGCGACGCCGCGUGGGGGAAUGAAGGUCUUCGGAUUGUAAACCCCUGUCAUGUGGGAGCAAAUUAAAAAGAUAGUCCCACAAGAGGAAGAGACGGCUAACUCUGUGCCAGCAGCCGCGGUAAUACAGAGGUCUCAAGCGUUGUUCGGAAUCACUGGGCGUAAAGCGUUCGUAGGCUGUUUCGUAAGUCGUGUGUGAAAGGCGCGGGCUCAACCCGCGGACGGCACAUGAUACUGCGAGACUAGAGUAAUGGAGGGGGAACCGGAAUUCUCGGUGUAGCAGUGAAAGGCGUAGAUAUCGAGAGGAACACUCGUGGCGAAGGCGGGUUCCUGGACAUUAACUGACGCUGAGGCACGAAGGCCAGGGGAGCGAAAGGGAUUAGAUACCCCUGUAGUC
This 446-nucleotide ribosomal RNA is filed under the name uncultured bacterium. RNAcentral's name for it is "partial 16S ribosomal RNA". It matches the Rfam family "Bacterial small subunit ribosomal RNA", at positions 338 to 795 of the family's 1533-position model. The record is from RNAcentral.